CCGAUCUCUGGGGACCGACCGGUCUCUCAGAGAGGGACCGGUUCUCGAGAGCUGGUUCUCAGGGACUUAGCCGAUUUUUGGCUUUUCUUAUUUCUUGCGCGUUCGGGGACCGGUCUCUCCCACCAGGGACUGGUCCCCGAGAGCUCAAAAACUGCAGUUUGCAGAUUUUUGAUUCUUUAGCUCUCGAAAACCUUCCACAACGCACUUUUACUCAUUUUAACACCUUCGGACUUUCCGAA
RNAcentral lists this long non-coding RNA (239 nucleotides) under Ananas comosus (pineapple). RNAcentral describes it as "long non-coding RNA (ACOM_LNC039527)". The record is from RNAcentral. Lineage: Eukaryota; Viridiplantae; Streptophyta; Magnoliopsida; Poales; Bromeliaceae.